GUUCACCAACUUAUUCAUAAUCUUCAAAGUCACCUCAGCCUUAAAUUUAUGCCACCAGAUCCAAUCAACUUUUCAGCGAAGAAAGUUCACUUCACUUUUUAUAUACUUUCGCUUAAAGUUGUAGCAGAUAUUAACAACAAAAAUCGUUGUCAGGAAUCGGUCAAAUUUAUACUGACAUUUUCAUAUUCAAUUAAAAAAAUUAUAUAUAGUGCUUAAUAAUUCAAUAUAAUCUAUUAAUUUUUUUAACAAGAUAAAUUUGUCAAAAUAA
RNAcentral lists this long non-coding RNA (268 nucleotides) under Linum usitatissimum (flax). RNAcentral's name for it is "long non-coding RNA (LUSI_LNC000706)". The record is from RNAcentral. Lineage: Eukaryota; Viridiplantae; Streptophyta; Magnoliopsida; Malpighiales; Linaceae.